Molecule: non-coding RNA, 72 nt
Organism: Phthorimaea operculella (potato tuberworm)
Lineage: Eukaryota; Metazoa; Arthropoda; Insecta; Lepidoptera; Gelechiidae
Source: the annotation of a GenBank genome assembly
GCGCCGGUACCUCAGAUGGCAGAGCAGUGGGACGGUAUCCCACGGUCCUGGGUUUAAGUCCCGGCCGACGCU